UCCUCUGUCAGCUGCGCUAUGCAGUGUUUUUUUUUCUUUUAAGUUUUUAAGAACAUUUCAAAAAUACGAACACAGAAUAGGAUGGAUGGGUAGCAGGAGAGGCCAUCCCAGGAUAUGCCCCUUUGGCAAAAACACCAUUUGAGCAGAUACUUUUUGAGAAAGAGCAGACAUGGGAGAAGCUCUGGACACAGUUGGAGUGACUCUACUGUAAGGGACGGUUACCUUUAUAAAGGAAAUCGCUGUUCUGUCUGGCUCCCUUUCUGCCCGGCUCUGGCUUUAAGAAGCUUCAAUCGGCAAAACAAACCCAACUGCACCCGUGUUCCCUGUGCUGUUCCUGUAAACCCCUCACAACUGCCCCCGAGUUCCUGCUUCUGCCUUUCGCUGCAGAUGCUGUUUAAGGUGGUAGCUUGGCGUUACUCAGUUUUUCUGGGCAUCUCCCAUGUAUAUAGGAGGUAUGCGUAUUAAUAAGCUUCUGUUUGCUUUUCUCUCAUGAUCCUGCCUUUUAUUGUAGGGGGGGUCUCAUCCAAGAACUCAGAAAAGUGGGAAGAUUCCUUCCUCCCCUGCAGGGUGAUCAAGCCCUUACAGAACCCUAAGCCAGCCUCAGUACUAUCAACUCAGGACCAGUCUUGCCUCUUUAACAUCAUUACUAUCCAGACAGUAUUCACAUUUCUUUGUCUUUUUUUUUUUUUAAUUUUCUCCUCGUCAUUUGAAGGCGUACCU
Long non-coding RNA from Phyllostomus discolor (pale spear-nosed bat), 720 nucleotides. RefSeq lists it as uncharacterized. The record is from RefSeq and is a predicted model, not a curated record. The transcript is spliced from 2 exons. NCBI's taxonomy places the organism in Eukaryota, Metazoa, Chordata, Mammalia, Chiroptera, Phyllostomidae.